RNAcentral lists this unclassified non-coding RNA (465 nucleotides) under Zanthoxylum scandens. Its description in RNAcentral is "partial external transcribed spacer". Lineage: Eukaryota; Viridiplantae; Streptophyta; Magnoliopsida; Sapindales; Rutaceae. The record is from RNAcentral.
AUUAAUGGUGCAGCUCCGUGCUCGUGCAUCGAACUGUCGGCGCCUCAUCCGCUUCAGUCUUGCCCCGAGCGCAGCUCGUGGGUGCUUGAGGUAUCCUGUGUUGCUUACCCGGUGAAGGAAUCUGAUGGUUUUGGUGUCCCCAUCCGCCUUGCGCCCCUUUGGGGUGCGGGGUGGACGCGGGGUGGGCUCCGUGUUCCCCGUGUGUCGAGCGCGUUGACGCUCGGCCGCUGUGGCCCAUGGGGUCUCGCCCGUGCUCUCGGAUGCGGAAUGCUGUGUGUGGGCGUGGGGGUCUCGGCCUCUGCUCGUCCGAGCUGCACGCAUUGUCCCUUGACAUGAACGACCGUCGCGCCCGUCUUGAUCGGCCGACCGUACCCCCGUCGCGGGGCUCCGGGAGGGCGGCUCAUGCGGGCGUCGGCGUCGGAGAGGAAUGCUACCUGGUUGAUCCUGCCAGUAGUCUAGGCCCUU